GUCCAAUGUGACUCUGCAGCCAGCCACAGCAUAUGAGCAAUUAGAAGUUCUCAUCUGACUCAGGUGCCUCCUGGCAACAGUGAGUUACCGUUGUGGGAAAGGACUGUCUUUGGUGUGCACCAGAAGGGGCUGCUUGGUCUUUCCACAGCUCCCAUUUAAAGCUUUGGUAUGAGCAAGGACAAGGUGCAGCGAUGACAAGCAGGACCAUCAUCUCAGAGCCCAGCAACUGAAGCAUCUUCUCAAGAUCAGUUCAACUCAGCUCUGAAGUGCUGCCUGACAAUCCCAAAUCAAAGGGUGUCCAGUGGAAGAUCACAGUUAUGGCAGUUUGGGGAGAAGGAAACAAAACCACCAUGCAAUGAGAUAUCUUGUGACAAAUAUCUUACCCUAACUGGGGUCAAAAUAUCUGACCUAUUUACAGAAAAGGAGCAGAUUGAUAGCUUGCCUGUUCUGGUGCAGGAGGAUGCCAUCCUCCGCAGAGUUUACUUUUUUCUUCAGAACGCACCAAAACCUCCUGAAGUUCACCAGGAAUUUCGUAGCACCUGUCUGGCAAAAAAUCUGCUGGUCAUCUGACUUUUCCUGUGGUUUCUCAGAUGAUGCCUUCAGGACUUGCUGUGCCCCCAGUCCCUCCUCACAGGAUGGAAGCAUUUUGGUAUCACCUGAGCCAUACUUCAGUGUAGAGCCCAGCAGAGCCCCACAGAUACUUGGAAGAGGAUUAUGGGUCCUUUCCCACAAAUCUAGAGACAGUCAUCACCUGCCUUGGCUUGUGACUACCUCUUCACAGGAUUCUGAACUGAAAUAGGUAUCACUGGCAUUCCUGACCACAGCAAGCCUCAGAAAAUAGCCAUCAAUAGCCUUGGCCUUGUACAGCUGACCCUGCUUGAACUGUGAUUACUUCUCCAGAAUUCACCCAGAUUGUAUUGGCAACCAGCAUGAAGUAUGAGCCCAGUCUGUCCUAAAGACUAAUAACUUAGCCAUGAAGAUUGGCUUCACGUGCCAUGUUAAUCGAGUCUCUCUUGAAGUUAAAAAUGAUCAGUGAUUUCCACAGGGAGUUAGAAAAUUAAUACAG
This is a long non-coding RNA of Vidua macroura (Pin-tailed whydah), 1066 nucleotides long. RefSeq lists it as uncharacterized. The record is from RefSeq and is a predicted model, not a curated record. Lineage: Eukaryota; Metazoa; Chordata; Aves; Passeriformes; Viduidae. The transcript has 7 exons.